Molecule: ribosomal RNA, 832 nt
Filed under: uncultured eukaryote
Lineage: Eukaryota
Description: bacterial SSU rRNA
Rfam family: Eukaryotic small subunit ribosomal RNA
Source: RNAcentral
UUGCAUUUAUUUGCCGGGCGCGUGUAUCUCCCGUCUUUUACUGUGAGCAAACUAGAGUGUUCAAAGCAGGCUUACGCCGUUGAAUACAUUAGCAUGGAAUAAUAAGAUAUGACCUUGGUCAAUUUUGUUGGUUUAUACUCCAAGGUAAUGAUUAAUAGGGACAGUUGGGGGUAUUCGUAUUCAAUUGUCAGAGGUGAAAUUCUUGGAUUUAUGGAAGACGAACUACUGCGAAAGCUUUUACCAAGGAUGUUUUCAUUAAUCAAGAACGAAAGUUAGGGGAUCGAAGAUGAUUAGAUACCAUCGUAGUCUUAACCAUAAACUAUGCCGACUAGGGGAUUGGUGGGGCCGUACUUUUGUACGCCAUCAGCACCUUUAUGAGAAAUCAAAAGUCUUUUGGGUUCUGGGGGGGAGUACGGGUCGCAAAGGCUGAAAACUUAAAAGGAAUUGACGGAAAGGGCACCCACCAGGGCGUGGGAGCUUGCGGCUCAAUUUGACUCAAACACGGGGAAACUUACCAGGUCCAGACAUAGUGAGGAUUGACAGAUUGAUAGCUCUUUCUUGAUUCUAUGGGUGGUGGUGCAUGGCCGUUCUUAGUUGGUGGAGUGAUUUGUCUGAUUAAUUUCGAUAACGAACGAGACCUCCGCCUGCUAAAUAGGAGCCGUUGUCAAUUGACAGCGGACUCCUUCUUAGAGGGACAAUGCACGGUGAGUGCAUGGGAAGUUGGAGGCAAUAACAGGUCUGUGAUGCCCUUAGAUGUUCUGGGCCCGCACGCGCGCUACACUGGCUGAGUCAACGAGUCUUAUCCUGGUUUUCGACAGAGCUGGGUAAUCUU